GUGGGGAAUAUUGGACAAUGGGCGAAAGCCUGAUCCAGCAAUGCCGCGUGAGUGAUGAAGGCCUUAGGGUUGUAAAGCUCUUUUACCAGGGAUGAUAAUGACAGUACCUGGAGAAUAAGCUCCGGCUAACUCCGUGCCAGCAGCCGCGGUAAUACGGAGGGAGCUAGCGUUGUUCGGAAUUACUGGGCGUAAAGCGCACGUAGGCGGUGACUCAAGUCAGAGGUGAAAGCCCGGGGCUCAACCCCGGAACUGCCUUUGAAACUAGGUAACUAGAAUCUUGGAGAGGUCAGGGGAAUUCCGAGUGUAGAGGUGAAAUUCGUAGAUAUUCGGAAGAACACCAGUGGCGAAGGCGACUGACUGGACAAGUAUUGACGCUGAGGUGCGAAAGCGUGGGGAGCAAACAGGAUUAGAAACCCGAGUAGUCC
Molecule: ribosomal RNA, 425 nt
Filed under: uncultured bacterium
Lineage: Bacteria
Description: partial 16S ribosomal RNA
Rfam family: Bacterial small subunit ribosomal RNA
Source: RNAcentral